Molecule: long non-coding RNA, 325 nt
Organism: Chelonia mydas (Green sea turtle)
Lineage: Eukaryota; Metazoa; Chordata; Testudines; Cheloniidae
Exons: 2
Source: RefSeq, a predicted model, not a curated record
GCUGGGCUUUGCCUCGCUCUGGGCUGGGCAGGCGCUGGCUGAAGUGGUCCCCACUUUCAGUAACUGCGCACACUAUUUCUACAGAGGAAUUGAGCCCAAAGGGUUUGACACUAGAAAGAGAGUUAAGAUUUGCCAGAAAUAUGAAGGAAUAUAUCAUUUUGCAACCUUUUACGACACGAGCAGCCGAAUCCCAGUUUGGUCAGCUUACACUAUGACUGAAGGAAAUUGCACAGAUGCACCCGCAACGUGGAUGGUGGAGCCGCAGCUGGCUGAUUUAUCAGAGGCAAACAUGGAGACAGAAGGAAACCUGCUUCGAAAGCUGAAA